Molecule: long non-coding RNA, 876 nt
Organism: Limanda limanda (common dab)
Lineage: Eukaryota; Metazoa; Chordata; Actinopteri; Pleuronectiformes; Pleuronectidae
Exons: 4
Source: RefSeq, a predicted model, not a curated record
GUCACUCGACUCAACUUUUCUAACUUUGACUUCAGCAAACUUAAGAGAGGAGUAGCUGACAUGAUGUAAAUGGACGUCAGAGUCACUGUCCUCCUGGUUCUCAGCCUCCUUCACUUCUCCACAGGCUCUGGUGGGGUCGCAGCUGCAGACGACAGACAAAUAAAGACAACAACUGUCAGUCAAAGUGGCUGAUCUACACUCAGUAAAUCCUCUGUAGACCAGACCGUCUCAUUUGGGCCUUCGUGGUCUACCUGGCCGAUGAAGGAGGCGGUCUCCAUGGCCAGGUAGACAACGUAUAUCGGAAGAAUGCACCCCCUGAAUAGAGACACAGCUAGAGGCUCUCCAUCCACCUACCUCUAAUACCAGGAGACACGCUGCACUCUGGUACCAGGAGAAGGUGUGGACAGGUGGGUUGGCGUCACUGCUGCAGGUCAGCGUCACAGGGAGGCUCCUCUGUAGCUCUCCAGGUGGAGAGAUGGACACAUGUGUAUUUCGAGUCUGCAUCUGACAGUAGUAGCUGCCAGAGUCAUCAGAAGCAACGGCGCUGAUGUUCCACACCUGUCCGUUGUAUCUCGGGGUUGCGCUUGUGCUCUUGAACCAUCUGAAACUGGCCUGUGGAUUGGCUGAAGGGCUGCAGCAGGCCAGACGUAAAUCAACGCCCUCAGUGAUGCCACCAGACAGACUCGCUGAUGUUGACACUGCACUGGAGGAAUCUGGAGAAAAGAUAUGAGAUUAGAUAAUUGACUUUAUAUGUGUUCAUGUAGACGAGAUUCAUCAUUGGAUGUAACAGUCAGUAACUGUGUUAGUUGUUUGUUAGAAAAUAGUUUCUUUAUGUAAAAAGUUGUCUUUUUUACGGAGAUAUUAGUUCUGUUGAAA